GUUUAUAUAGUUUAUUUAAAAUAUUAAAUUGCAAAUUUAAAGAAAUUGUUAAUUAUAAAUU
This 61-nucleotide transfer RNA is filed under the name Seladonia tumulorum. RNAcentral's name for it is "tRNA-Cys". The record is from RNAcentral. Lineage: Eukaryota; Metazoa; Arthropoda; Insecta; Hymenoptera; Halictidae.